CCUACGGGGGGCAGCAGUGGGGGAUAUUGCACAAUGGGGGCAACCCUGAUGCAGCGACGCCGCGUGGGCGAUGGAGUGCUUCGGCAUGUAAAGCCCUAUCAGCAGGGAAGAAAAUGACGGUACCUGACUAUGAAGCCCCGGCUAAAUACGUUCCAGCAGCCGCGGUACUACGUACGGGGCCAGCGUUAUCCGGAUUUACUGGGUGUAAAGGGAGCGUAGGCGGCAUGGAAAGCCUGAUGUGAAAUACCGGGGCACAACCCCGGGGCUGCAUUGGGAACUGGCAGGCUGGAGUGCCGGGGAGGCAGGCGGAAUUCGUGGUGUAGCGGUGAAAUGCGUAGAUAUUAGGAGGAACGCCAGUGGCGAAGGCGGCCUGCUGGACGGUGACUGACGCUGAGGCUCGAAAGCGUGGGGAGCGAACAGGAUUAGAUACCCUUGUAGUC
RNAcentral lists this ribosomal RNA (440 nucleotides) under uncultured bacterium. RNAcentral describes it as "partial 16S ribosomal RNA". It matches the Rfam family "Bacterial small subunit ribosomal RNA", at positions 338 to 795 of the family's 1533-position model. The record is from RNAcentral.